CCGACAAAUACUAAAUAUUGCUAGAGCACUUAAAUUCUAAAGUAGCCUUGAGCUAAACUAUUAGACUGACUUUAUCCUUAUAGCAGUUUACCUUACCAAUAAAAUACUCUUCUCUGUAAUUAAUCAUAAGAUUCCCUUUGAAAAACUUUUUCAAAGACAACUAAACUAACUAACUAGACAACUAAGCUUAACCCUAGAAAAAGAAAA
Molecule: long non-coding RNA, 207 nt
Filed under: Carica papaya (papaya)
Lineage: Eukaryota; Viridiplantae; Streptophyta; Magnoliopsida; Brassicales; Caricaceae
Description: long non-coding RNA (CPAP_LNC002042)
Source: RNAcentral